CAGCCGCUCACAACUCCUCACGGGGGCAUCAGGACUUCUCCUCCGCACAUGCCCGAACCACCUCAGUCUCGCUUCUCGCAUCUUCUCAUCCACCGGGAUCACCCCCACCUUCUCUCGAAUAACUUCAUUCUUAAUCUUAUCUAACCUGGUGCGCCCGCACAUCUACCUGAGCAUCCUAACGAACCACCUCAGCCUCGCUUCCGCAUCUUCUCAUCCACCCCGGGGCCACCCCCACCUUCUCUCGAAUUACUUCAUUCUUAGUCUUAUCUAACCUGGUGAGCCGGCACAUCCACAUGAGCAUCCUCAUCUCCGCGAACUUCAUUCUCUGAACAUGAGAGUUCU
RNAcentral lists this long non-coding RNA (342 nucleotides) under Nicotiana benthamiana. Its description in RNAcentral is "long non-coding RNA (NBEN_LNC020041)". Lineage: Eukaryota; Viridiplantae; Streptophyta; Magnoliopsida; Solanales; Solanaceae. The record is from RNAcentral.